This 250-nucleotide ribosomal RNA is filed under the name uncultured bacterium. RNAcentral's name for it is "partial 16S ribosomal RNA". It matches the Rfam family "Bacterial small subunit ribosomal RNA", at positions 525 to 774 of the family's 1533-position model. The record is from RNAcentral.
ACGGAGGGUGCGAGCGUUGUUCGGAAUCACUGGGCGUAAAGCGCGUGUAGGCGGCCUCCUAAGUCCGAUGUGAAAGCCCGGGGCUCACCCCCGGAAGUGCAUCGAAUACUGGGAGACUCGAGUACCGGAGAGGAAGGUGGAAUUCCUGGUGUAGCGGUGAAAUGCGUAGAUAUCAGGAGGAACACCGGUGGCGAAGGCGGCCUUCUGGACGGAUACUGACGCUGAGACGCGAAAGCGUGGGGAGCAAACA